AGGAGGAACAGCCCCAGUGGGGGGGCAGCUCUGGAAACCUGGAUUCAGCUCCGGCAGGAACUCCGUCUGCAGGGCCUGGAGGCUCCGGGGCGGG
Molecule: non-coding RNA, 94 nt
Organism: Canis lupus familiaris (dog)
Lineage: Eukaryota; Metazoa; Chordata; Mammalia; Carnivora; Canidae
Source: Rfam